RNAcentral lists this ribosomal RNA (299 nucleotides) under uncultured bacterium. RNAcentral's name for it is "partial 16S ribosomal RNA". It matches the Rfam family "Bacterial small subunit ribosomal RNA", at positions 475 to 776 of the family's 1533-position model. The record is from RNAcentral.
CUAUGCGCCUUGCCAGCCCGCUCAGGUGUGCCAGCCGCCGCGGUAAUACGUAGGUGGCAAGCGUUGUCCGGAUUUACUGGGUGUAAAGGGCGUGUAGCCGGGCUGACAAGUCAGAUGUGAAAUCCGGGGGCUCAACCCCCGAACUGCAUUUGAAACUGUUGGUCUUGAGUAUCGGAGAGGCAGGCGGAAUUCCUAGUGUAGCGGUGAAAUGCGUAGAUAUUAGGAGGAACACCAGUGGCGAAGGCGACUUUCUGGACUGUACCUGACGCUGAGGCGCGAAAGCGUGGGUAGCGAACGGG